GUUUGCUGAAGUGCCUGGGCCCCAGUUAAUUGCAAAGUGAAGCCACUCAGUCCACCUCCCUCCAUUGUGAUGAGUGUUGGUGGGACAGCUCACGUUGCCGUGAGCCCAGCGGGUGGACCUGGCCACUCCGACAGACCGACAGCGUGGUGCUGCCGUCACAGCCCUGCCGGCUCACGGGAGGCUGUCGCAGGCUCCUUGCAUCCAGCGUCUACCAUCAUCUGCCUCCAGACAGUGGGAACUAGCGUGGGAGCCCCUGGAUGUGAGGGGGCGUGCACCCUCAGCAAGAAGAGGCUGAGCAUGAGGCCUGGGGUCCCGCCACCGCGGCUCUGCAGUGCCCUCUGCAAAGGUGCCCCUGUCGGUGUCGUGGAGAAGAUGCACAUGCACAGACAAUUUGCAGUACCAAACCAAGACACUCCCCAGACAGAGGAAACCGAGGCUGCGUCUCCACAAGGCCACCAGAGGCUGCAGGCUAGUGGAGACAGAGGAACAAGACAACCAGAACUGUAUUUGCUAGGGGAAAAAGAGAGCCAGUGUGUGAGAAAUUUAAAGAAAAGAUGUUUAGUGGGGUAAAAAAAGCACAUUGAGCCGUUUUCCUAAUUUCAUCAUUGAAACUGCAGAGAUUCCUAUCAGCACAUUUUUGGUGACUUGCCCCAAAUAGCAUGAAUGUCGGUCACUCAUUGUUGACACGGGGACCCAAGAACUCCCCAGCUAGACCCAAUCAGCCCGUGAGCCCAGGCGCAGCAUUCGCCACCGGGACUGGCAAACGUUCACUCCUAUUCCUGUAAAAUCAGGCUUGAAAACGACAUAUUUAAACGCACUUUUAUACAA
RNAcentral lists this long non-coding RNA (828 nucleotides) under Equus caballus (horse). RNAcentral's name for it is "lncRNA (ENSECAG00000040835.2)". The record is from RNAcentral. Lineage: Eukaryota; Metazoa; Chordata; Mammalia; Perissodactyla; Equidae.